ACGGGUGAGUAAUGCCUAGGAAUCUGCCUGGUAGUGGGGGAUAACGUUCGGAAACGGACGCUAAUACCGCAUACGUCCUACGGGAGAAAGCAGGGGACCUUCGGGCCUUGCGCUAUCAGAUGAGCCUAGGUCGGAUUAGCUAGUUGGUGGGGUAAUGGCUCACCAAGGCGACGAUCCGUAACUGGUCUGAGAGGAUGAUCAGUCACACUGGAACUGAGACACGGUCCAGACUCCUACGGGAGGCAGCAGUGGGGAAUAUUGGACAAUGNGCGAAAGCCUGAUCCAGCCAUGCCGCGUGUGUGAANAAGGUCUUCGGAUUGUAAAGCACUUUAAGUUGGGAGGAAGGGCAGUUGCCUAAUACGUAACUGUUUUGACGUUACCGACAGAAUAAGCACCGGCUAACUCUGUGCCAGCAGCCGCGGUAAUACAGAGGGUGCAAGCGUUAAUCGGAAUUACUGGGCGUAAAGCGCGCGUAGGUGGUUUGUUAAGUUGGAUGUGAAAUCCCCGGGCUCAACCUGGGAACUGCAUUCAAAACUGACUGACUAGAGUAUGGUAGAGGGUGGUGGAAUUUCCUGUGUAGCGGUGAAAUGCGUAGAUAUAGGAAGGAACACCAGUGGCGAAGGCGACCACCUGGACUAAUACUGACACUGAGGUGCGAAAGCGUGGGGAGCAAACAGGAUUANAUA
RNAcentral lists this ribosomal RNA (686 nucleotides) under Pseudomonas lurida. RNAcentral's name for it is "bacterial SSU rRNA". It matches the Rfam family "Bacterial small subunit ribosomal RNA", at positions 102 to 784 of the family's 1533-position model. The record is from RNAcentral. Lineage: Bacteria; Pseudomonadati; Pseudomonadota; Gammaproteobacteria; Pseudomonadales; Pseudomonadaceae.